GCACCUGAAGCUUAGCCAAGCUGUUGUUUUAAUAGAGCAAUAAAAAUGAAUUAUGACUAACUGCCUCCUAGCUUAAUGGUUUUAGACGGGGAUCCCCAGCCUGAACAAAUACGUAAGGAGAUUUUUAUUUGUGCAUGUGUUCCUGCAAUUGAUCUCUUUGAUGACAUUCUCAUUCACAGAAAGCAUUUGAUUUAUGUGUUUAGGAAGAAUUGCAUCCAGU
This 220-nucleotide long non-coding RNA is filed under the name Pogona vitticeps (central bearded dragon). Its description in RNAcentral is "HOX antisense intergenic RNA myeloid 1 conserved region 2 (ENSPVIG00000015326.1)". It matches the Rfam family "HOX antisense intergenic RNA myeloid 1 conserved region 2". Lineage: Eukaryota; Metazoa; Chordata; Lepidosauria; Squamata; Agamidae. The record is from RNAcentral.